UAAAGUUGUUGCGGUUAAAAAGCUCGUAGUCGGAGGUGUGUCUCGGACGGUCGGUUCGCCGCUUGUCGGUGCUCAACUGGCCGGUCCGGACGUCCUGCCGGUGGGGCUGUAAAAGGCUCCGUUAUCCUUCUUUGGUCCUCUUCACUGAGUGCCUUGGUGGGCCGGCACGUUUACUUUGAACAAAUUAGAGUGCUCAAAGCAGGCCGUUGGUCGCCUGAAUACUGUGUGCAUGGAAUAAUGGAAUAGGACCUCGGUUCCAUUUUGUUGGUUUUCAGAACUCGAGGUAAUGAUUAAUAGGGACGGACGGGGGCAUUCGUAUUGCGACGUUAGAGGUGAAAUUCUUGGAUCGUCGCAAGACGAACCGAUGCGAAAGCAUUUGCCAAGAACGUUUUCGUUGAUCAAGAACGAAAGUUAGAGGUUCGAAGGCGAUCAGAUACCGCCCUAGUUCUAACCAUAAACGAUGCCAGCUAGCCAUCCGCCGAAGUUCCUUAUAUGACUCGGCGGGCAGCUUCCGGGAAACCAAAGCUCUUGGGUUCCGGGGGAAGUAUGGUUGCAAAGCU
RNAcentral lists this ribosomal RNA (560 nucleotides) under Macromia illinoiensis. Its description in RNAcentral is "SSU rRNA". It matches the Rfam family "Eukaryotic small subunit ribosomal RNA", at positions 605 to 1138 of the family's 1831-position model. The record is from RNAcentral. Lineage: Eukaryota; Metazoa; Arthropoda; Insecta; Odonata; Macromiidae. RNAcentral also lists the same sequence under 1 other name.